Acanthochromis polyacanthus (spiny chromis) is the source of this 2168-nucleotide long non-coding RNA. RefSeq lists it as uncharacterized. The record is from RefSeq and is a predicted model, not a curated record. Lineage: Eukaryota; Metazoa; Chordata; Actinopteri; Pomacentridae. The transcript has 3 exons.
CUCAGAUGUGACUCUUCAGGCAUUCAUCGUGUCUUCAUCGAUACAGCUGGUCCAGGGAUCGAUGCGACCAGGACUUCUGUGAUUGUAAGAGAGGCGGAUGUGAUCUACUCUGACAUCAAGCUCAGCCCAUCCAGAAGCUCUACUCCUUCAUCCAAAUACAAGCACAGAGACAACGUGAAUGCUGAUGUCGUGUACUCCGAGGUGGCUGUUUUACAUCGACAGCCUACUGAGAAGAUGUUUAUGUACUGCAGAAGGACUGAUGAAGUUCUUUCUUGUGCUUGCUGAGUGCACAAAAACACUCUUAAUCCUGCUGGAAGCACACUGUGGUGCCAUCAUUUGGUAUAAUCAGCAAAAUCUGACCUGAUUCUGAUCACCUAAUCCUAAAAUAUAUUCUAUAAUGAUCUUUGUAGCAGCUCCAGCCCCUCUGUUUAAAUACAGGCUGUACUAGAACCAAAUAAUAUUGUUUUAUUGCUAAUAUGUCUCUACAGUUAAUGCUACCAUGUUGAUGCUUCGUAGGUCUGUGUAUCAUCUUCAGUGUUGGUUUAGCUUGUUAGCUUCCCAUAAAUGCAGCAAUAUAAUACCAUAGCAUAGCAAGGUGAUUGUGAAUAGUUUUGAAGGUGUUUGGUAACAACCAACAUAACAUUUUGUCCUGAUAGUGUUGCACGAUGAGUUAUUCCAAUGCAUCCUGAAUGGACUAUUAUUUUGUUUUUACCAAAUUUGGCAGCAAUAGAAGAAAACUGGAUCACCAAAGUUGUGUCCUCAAAAGACCUUAAAGAUAAUUUAAUAGCUGUUUGGUGCAAUUUCUCUCUAAGCCUUUUGGUUAAAUCUCUGGACACAAUCCACACAACAGUGGACAUAUAUCUGCAGUAGAACAAGAAAUGGCCACACUAAAAUGUUUUCUGGAAAUGUCCAGUAUGCAAUCAAGGUAAACAGCUUCUUGUAUCUAGCUAUGCUGUGCAGUGGGGAAAUGCCUGCAUGUCUUUUUCUGCCAUUACUGCUGUAAAAACAACAUCUGAAUCUCGCUUUGCAGAUUAUAUUCAUGUAGUGAAGACAAGUCCUGCUGUGGAUGUUACUGAGUCUGGCUCGCAAGGUAUUACAUAACCUGUCAUGUAUGGACAUGUGUGGUCAUAACAGCAAAGCUGACAUACAGGCAAGUGCAAUUCUCGACAAAAAUUACACAUAGUUCCUCUUUUGCCAAACAUCAAGAGGAAGGUGGAAAGAAGAAGACAAACAUUAGAAAUUAUUACAGAAUACAGAUCACUACACAUCUAUACCAGAUCAGAUUUCCACCCCCAGAUUUAUGUGUUCAGAGCGAUUCACGGCCAUUUAUCUACGGUCUGGCACUGAGGCACAGAGUGCUACAUUACUUAUUUUGUUGCUCUGACUGGCUGUAGGUUUACUGAUCUGCCCUUGUUUAAAUCUCGCACCAUGAAGAUUGAAAACAUGCUGAGUGAUUCCAGACUAAUUUGAAUGUCUGCAUUUGUCCAGCAAUCCAAAGUUAGCAAAAACCAGGAUGACAUGUCAGUCUUGGAAAGAGCUAAAAGUGUUAGGAGACUUGAACAGACAAACAUUUUCUCAAUUUCUGCAGUGAAAUUACUUUGUUGGCUGAAGCAGGUAAAUUCAUUCAAAUUCAGAGUUCUUCCACCUUACUCUUUCCUAGAGCAGCAUUAAUUCAAAAACAAAUUGUAUGUCAUACAGCAUUGCCUGUUGUUCAGUCCCACAGAUUACAGUAGGGGUUGCUGCUUAACCCUGUGGUGCAGAACAUUGCUCAAUGUGAAUGUAACAAUUCUGUCUUGAACUGUUGCAGUCUGCGACACCUUAAGCAAGAAAAAAAAAGGUGACAAAAUGAAGGUCUCAGCAUUUCCUGACUUUUUCUUUCUGUGGGUGAGAUGUUGCUAACAGCCAUGUGCGAUGUCUUCUAGACUCACCCUGCGCUGUUCGAACGUGUGAGCACAAAAUCUACUUUUCUCUUGUUUUGCUAUUUUUUGUGUUGUGCAAAAGUCAGAAGUUGAAAAGUUUGAUUAUCUAAUUGAAAUGUUUUUCAAAAGAUAAUGUAGGCCUUUAGACAGAAAUGAGUGCUGUUAACUCUACAUUUGCUUUAAUAGAUGUUUUGUUAAUAUCUGUGUUUGUCAAUUGCAAUUGUUACCUCAAAAACUUUGUUUCACAGA